RNAcentral lists this transfer RNA (75 nucleotides) under Lachnospiraceae bacterium. RNAcentral's name for it is "tRNA-Glu". It matches the Rfam family "tRNA". From Rfam's summary of the family: Transfer RNA (tRNA) molecules are approximately 80 nucleotides in length. Their secondary structure includes four short double-helical elements and three loops (D, anti-codon, and T loops). The record is from RNAcentral. Lineage: Bacteria; Bacillati; Bacillota; Clostridia; Lachnospirales; Lachnospiraceae.
GACGCCAUCCUCUAAAGGUAGGAGGUCUGCCUCUCAAGCAGAGAAUGUUAGGUUCGAGUCCUACUGGCGCCACCA